Molecule: unclassified non-coding RNA, 453 nt
Filed under: Hevea brasiliensis (rubber tree)
Lineage: Eukaryota; Viridiplantae; Streptophyta; Magnoliopsida; Malpighiales; Euphorbiaceae
Source: RNAcentral
CAAGUCUUGUGGGCUUUUGCUUCUCUGUACGAGCAACCUGGUCCCAUGCUUGAUGCACUUGAUAAUGUUUUUAGUGAUGGCAAUCAGUUCAAAUGCCGCUUGAAAGAUGAUAAAUUACUUCAUAGUAAAGAAAGAGCACCAGAUGGAACUGCAGAUGUUGAUUCUGGAGCAAUUAACUCUCCCGUGCUAAGUUUUAAUAGGGAUCAGCUAGGUAAUAUAUCAUGGUCUUAUGCUGUUCUUGGGCAGAUGAAUCGAGUUUUUUUCGCCAAAGUAUGGAAUGCUCUCAGCUAUUUUGAGGAGCAACGGAUAUCUGAGCAGUAUAGAGAAGACAUUAUGUUUGCUUCCCAAGUUCAUCUUGUGAACCAAUGUCUCAAGCUAGAGUACUCACAUCUUGACUUAUCCCUGAAAGGUGAAUUGGAGGAAAAAAUUUCCAGUGCUGGAAGGACAAAACGG